GACGAACGCUGGCGGCGUGCUUAACACAUGCAAGUCGAACGGAAAGGCCCAGCUUGUUGGGUGCUCGCGUGGCGAACGGGUGAGUAACACGUGGGUGAUCUGCCCCUAACUUCGGGUUAAGUAAGGGCAACUGGGUCUAAUAACGGCCAGGUCAUUCGUUUAGUGUCGGUGGUGGAAAGUUUGUUCGGUUAGGGCUGAGCCUGCGGCCUAUCAGCUUGUUGGUGGGGUAAUGGCCUACCAAGGCGGCGACGGGUAGCCGGCCUGAGAGGUUGGACGGCCACAUUGGUACUGAGAUACGGCCCAGACUCCUACGGGAGGCAGCAGUGGGGAAUAUUGCACAGUGGGCGCAAGCCUGAUGCAGCGACGCCGCGUGCGUGAUGACGGCCUUCGGGUUGUAAACCUCUUUCGACAGGGACGAAGCUUUGGUGACGGUACCUGUAGAAGAAGCCCCGGCUAACUACGUG
RNAcentral lists this ribosomal RNA (464 nucleotides) under uncultured bacterium. RNAcentral's name for it is "partial 16S ribosomal RNA". It matches the Rfam family "Bacterial small subunit ribosomal RNA", at positions 28 to 507 of the family's 1533-position model. The record is from RNAcentral.